This 468-nucleotide ribosomal RNA is filed under the name uncultured bacterium. RNAcentral's name for it is "partial 16S ribosomal RNA". It matches the Rfam family "Bacterial small subunit ribosomal RNA", at positions 28 to 507 of the family's 1533-position model. The record is from RNAcentral.
GACGAACGCUGGCGGCGUGCUUAACACAUGCAAGUCGAACGGCAAGGCCCUGCUUUUGUGGGGUGCUCGAGUGGCGAACGGGUGAGUAACACGUGAGUAACCUGCCCUUGACUUUGGGAUAACUUCAGGAAACUGGGGCUAAUACCGGAUAGGAGAUCCUGCUGCAUGGUGGGGGUUGGAAAGUUUCGGCGGUUGGGGAUGGACGCGCGGCUUAUCAGCUUGUUGGUGGGGUAGUGGCUUACCAAGGCUUUGACUGGUAGCCGGCCUGAGAGGGUGACCGGCCACAUUGGGACUGAGAUACGGCCCAGACUCCUACGGUAGGCAGCAGUGGGGAAUAUUGCACAAUGGGCGGAAGCCUGAUGCAGCAACGCCGCGUGCGGGAUGACGGCCUUCGGGUUGUAAACCGCUUUCGCCUGUGACGAAACGUGAGUGACGGUAAUGGGUAAAGAAGCACCGGCUAACUACGUG